This 439-nucleotide ribosomal RNA is filed under the name uncultured bacterium. Its description in RNAcentral is "partial 16S ribosomal RNA". It matches the Rfam family "Bacterial small subunit ribosomal RNA", at positions 339 to 795 of the family's 1533-position model. The record is from RNAcentral.
CUACGGGUCGCAGCAGUGGGGAAUAUUGGACAAUGGGCGCAAGCCUGAUCCAGCCAUGCCGCGUGAGUGAUGAAGGCCUUAGGGUUGUAAAGCUCUUUUGUCCGGGACGAUAAUGACGGUACCGGAAGAAUAAGCCCCGGCUAACUUCGUGCCAGCAGCCGCGGUAAUACGAAGGGGGCUAGCGUUGCUCGGAAUCACUGGGCGUAAAGGGCGCGUAGGCGGCCGAUUAAGUCGGGGGUGAAAGCCUGUGGCUCAACCACAGAAUUGCCUUCGAUACUGGUUGGCUUGAGACCGGAAGAGGACAGCGGAACUGCGAGUGUAGAGGUGAAAUUCGUAGAUAUUCGCAAGAACACCAGUGGCGAAGGCGGCUGUCUGGUCCGGUUCUGACGCUGAGGCGCGAAAGCGUGGGGAGCAAACAGGAUUAGAUACCCGUGUAGUC